RNAcentral lists this transfer RNA (66 nucleotides) under pig gut metagenome. It matches the Rfam family "tRNA", at positions 6 to 65 of the family's 71-position model. From Rfam's summary of the family: Transfer RNA (tRNA) molecules are approximately 80 nucleotides in length. Their secondary structure includes four short double-helical elements and three loops (D, anti-codon, and T loops). Further hydrogen bonds mediate the characteristic L-shaped molecular structure. tRNAs have two regions of fundamental functional importance: the anti-codon, which is responsible for specific mRNA codon recognition, and the 3' end, to which the tRNAs corresponding amino acid is attached (by aminoacyl-tRNA synthetases). tRNAs cope with the degeneracy of the genetic code in two manners: having more than one tRNA (with a specific anti-codon) for a particular amino acid; and 'wobble' base-pairing, i.e. permitting non-standard base-pairing at the 3rd anti-codon position. The record is from RNAcentral.
UCAUAGCUCAGUCGGUAGAGCACUUCAUUGGUAAUGAAGAGGUCGGGGGUUCAAAUCCCCCUGUUA